Molecule: ribosomal RNA, 305 nt
Filed under: uncultured bacterium
Lineage: Bacteria
Description: bacterial SSU rRNA
Rfam family: Bacterial small subunit ribosomal RNA
Source: RNAcentral
AUAUUCCUACGGGGCGCAGCAGUAGGGAAUUUUCGUCAAUGGGCGCAAGCCUGAACGAGCGAUGCCGCGUGAGUGAAGAAGGCCUUCGGGUCGUAAGGCUCUGUUGCGGGGGAAAAAAGGCAUCUGCAGGAAAUGGCAGAUGACAGAUGGUGCCCCGCCAGAAAGUCACGGCUAACUACGUGCCAGCAGCCGCGGUAAUACGUAGGUGGCGAGCGUUAUCCGGAAUGAUUGGGCGUAAAGGGUGCGCAGGCGGUCCUGCAAGUCUGGAGUGAAACGUAUGAGCUCAACUCAUGCAUGGCCCUGGA